This 485-nucleotide small RNA is filed under the name Pongo abelii (Sumatran orangutan). RNAcentral's name for it is "retained intron". Lineage: Eukaryota; Metazoa; Chordata; Mammalia; Primates; Hominidae. The record is from RNAcentral.
CCACGUGUCCCCUGUGGCGAGAUUUCGCCCUCCCGCCGUUGAGGAGGAAGAGUGUGAGAACAGACUUCCUAGGCACAGAAUGGAGGGGCAGAGUCCUGCAUUGAGGACUCCCUGCACUUGGGGUCCGAGGCUCACCGGGCGCCGUUCCCAGCCGCUUCUUACGCAGCCGGGAAACCAUAACGAGAUUUGGUCUUCGAGGGCAUUUAGGCCGGGACCACAACGAAUCCGGGAGUUGGCCAGAAGGAUCCAUCGAGAGGCGAAGAGUGGGGGCUGGGGGAGGAGGCACCUGCGGAGGAAGCCGGUGAGGCGGAGGCAGCCCAAAGGCUGAGGCAGCCCAAAGGCGGAGGCCAGCAAGGAUGGAGGCGCGGUGAGCAUCUCCGCUGACUCAGCGACCCAUGCUCGGGCCCCUCCCGCGCUGAGCCUGGUUCCUAACACCCUGGCCCCCUGGCCCCCGCCCCGCACAUCUCCGCCAGCCAGCCUUCCCC